RNAcentral lists this long non-coding RNA (521 nucleotides) under Ricinus communis (castor bean). Its description in RNAcentral is "long non-coding RNA (RCOM_LNC001754)". Lineage: Eukaryota; Viridiplantae; Streptophyta; Magnoliopsida; Malpighiales; Euphorbiaceae. The record is from RNAcentral.
UUGAUAACGCCAUACACAUCCCUAAAGCGGGUGUUCGGAUCUCUCAACAGUCAUUUCCCCGUGGAACGCCAUCCUGAAUGGUGGUUGGAGGGAGAAAAACAAGAUUGCUGGUGAUCUGGAAGGAGAAGUGGCGGAUGAGGCUUCUAAAACUUGUUAACCUUAUUGUGCCUCUUAUCAUCGAGGAUGGGAGUUACAUGGCUCAUCGGCAAAGGAAUUUGUCAACAUGAUGACCGGAUCAACACUCACUCCUAUCACUGGGGCUUCAUUUGCAAAUUCUUAUCUUUGGUGGAAUCCACAUGGCUCCGCCCACUCUAAUUUUUCUAUUUCAGGUCUAGGUUUUAACCCCCGAAUGAAGUUAUGGUGGAUGGUAAACUACCGGUAGAAAGCUCUGGCAAAAAGGAGAUCAUUCUCACGGUAAAAUAGUAGAGCUUCUUCUUCACGGUAAAAUAGUAAAAUUGUUAUCACGCAAUUAAAAAAACUAUAUAAAAGAAUUCAACCAAAGCGAAAUCCUGAAUGUUCUA